This 402-nucleotide ribosomal RNA is filed under the name uncultured bacterium. RNAcentral describes it as "bacterial SSU rRNA". It matches the Rfam family "Bacterial small subunit ribosomal RNA", at positions 355 to 774 of the family's 1533-position model. The record is from RNAcentral.
UGGGGAAUAUUGGACAAUGGGCGCAAGCCUAAUCCAGCCAUGCCGCGUGAGUGAUGAAGGCCCUAGGGUUGUAAAGCUCUUUUGUGCGGGAAGAUAAUGACUGUACCGCAAGAAUAAGCCCCGGCUAACUUCGUGCCAGCAGCCGCGGUAAUACGAAGGGGGCUAGCGUUGCUCGGAAUCACUGGGCGUAAAGGGUGCGUAGGCGGGUCUUUAAGUCAGGGGUGAAAUCCUGGAGCUCAACUCCAGAACUGCCUUUGAUACUGAGGAUCUUGAGUUCGGGAGAGGUGAGUGGAACUGCGAGUGUAGAGGUGAAAUUCGUAGAUAUUCGCAAGAACACCAGUGGCGAAGGCGGCUCACUGGCCCGAUACUGACGCUGAGGCACGAAAGCGUGGGGAGCAAACA